This 140-nucleotide ribosomal RNA is filed under the name Escherichia coli. RNAcentral's name for it is "partial 23S ribosomal RNA". The stretch from base 1 to 122 matches the Rfam family "Bacterial large subunit ribosomal RNA", at positions 2809 to 2925 of the family's 2925-position model. The record is from RNAcentral. Lineage: Bacteria; Pseudomonadati; Pseudomonadota; Gammaproteobacteria; Enterobacterales; Enterobacteriaceae.
UUCUCCCUGACCCUUUAAGGGUCCUGAAGGAACGUUGAAGACGACGACGUUGAUAGGCCGGGUGUGUAAGCGCAGCGAUGCGUUGAGCUAACCGGUACUAAUGAACCGUGAGGCUUAACCUUACAACGCCGAAGGUGUUU